This 1070-nucleotide long non-coding RNA is filed under the name Vombatus ursinus (common wombat). RNAcentral's name for it is "lncRNA (ENSVURG00010022712.1)". Lineage: Eukaryota; Metazoa; Chordata; Mammalia; Diprotodontia; Vombatidae. The record is from RNAcentral.
CAGGCAGGUCUAAUCUGGGAGUGGCCUCCAAGGCCUGGAUCUGUUCCAGAAAGCAGCCCUAGGAAGUCCCUGGAGAGGCUACAAAUCCUAUGGGCAAGUAACACUCCCUAACUAGUCUUCCAAGAUUUCCCCCAACUCCAACUCAUUCUUGACACUGUAGCCAGUGAUUUCUUAAGAGUCACUCCCCCUCCCCCACCGGCUCACAUAGAAACUUUCAGUUCAGCAGUGAACACCCUUCCCAGCCCGGCCCCUCGCCCUAAAUGCGCUCCUCCCCUCCAUCUCCCACCGUCUGCACUCGCUGAACCCCACACCUGGAAUGCUCUGGCUCUUUGCCUCCUAUUCUUGGCUUCCUUCAAGGCUUAGCUCUCAUUCCCGCUUCUGUCCCAGGCCUUUCCGGAUCCCCGGGCACCCUCCCCUCUGACAGUCCCGUCUAUCUACCCCGUCUGAAUCUUGGCCUUCGCACGCUGCCUCCUGCGUUAGACUCGGAGCUCCUGGGGACAGGCACUGGGCUUUGCCUUUCACUGUAUCGCCAGGACUCAGCACCGCGACUGGCACGUGCGUUUAGCACAGCCCCUGGCACACAGUGCGAGCUAAAUAUGUUUACUGAAUUGAAGACAGGCUGCAAACGCGUGGAGAACGGCCAAGGGUGGUGGAACUGAGUGCGUGCCGGCCCAGACAUGCCCGGCUAAGGUGGGGAGGGCCAGUUACCUCGGCUGGCCGCCGGACAAGUUUCCGGCCUCAGCACCCUUCAAAAGCCAUCGGCGCAGGGAGAGAGGGGCUGCGAUCUGCACGUCCUAAUCUGGAUCGCGGGCGGCGCCAACGUUCCAUCCUCCUGCGGCGGUCUAUAGCGUCCGGGACAAAGCCGGGGCUGCAGCCAUGGCGGUCAAAGUCCGUGUGGUUUACUGGUGAGCCGCUCUGGCGCUGGGAGAUCCCCUCGGGGAGGCGUGCAUGGUGGGGCCCGGCUGUGACGGGGCCCCCAGCCCCCAGCCACCCACGCCCGUGUGCACGGGAGCCUGUCCAGGAAAGAGCUCCUCUCCGGAACCUCCCAGGGGAGCCGAAACUGGGGCGCG